CCAGACUCCUACGGGAGGCAGCAGUGGGGGAUAUUGCACAAUGGGGGGAACCCUGAUGCAGCGACGCCGCGUGGGUGAAGGAGCACCUCGGUGCGUAAAGCCCUAUCGGCAGGGAAGAAAAGCGAACAGGUUCGCCUGGACGGUACCUGACUAAGAAGCCCCGGCUAACUACGUGCCAGCAGCCGCGGUAAUACGUAGGGGGCAAGCGUUAUCCGGAUUUACUGGGUGUAAAGGGAGCGUAGACGGCGCGGCAAGUCUGAAGUGAAAGGCAGGGGCUUAACCCCUGAACUGCUUUGGAAACUGCCAUGCUAGAGUGCUGGAGAGGUAAGUGGAAUUCCUAGUGUAGCGGUGAAAUGCGUAGAUAUUAGGAGGAACACCAGUGGCGAAGGCGGCUUACUGGACAGUAACUGACGUUGAGGCUCGAAAGCGUGGGGAGCAAACAGGAUUAGAUACCCUCGUA
This 460-nucleotide ribosomal RNA is filed under the name uncultured bacterium. RNAcentral describes it as "partial 16S ribosomal RNA". It matches the Rfam family "Bacterial small subunit ribosomal RNA", at positions 331 to 792 of the family's 1533-position model. The record is from RNAcentral.